GGAACAGCAACCCCUCCCAGCCUCCCAGACUGUAGCCUAACACAAUGCCUGACAACAGCUCACAUUGAAGCACGGAGAGAUAUGUUUUAGUUAUCUCUCAUUCAGAGGUUAUGGAGGAGAUAGGAGAACAGAGAUAUAUGCUUUAGAUAUCUCUCCUUAAGAGGUUAUGGGGGAGAUAGGAGAACAGAUAUAUAUGCUUUAGAUAUCUCUCACUCAGAGGUUAUGGGGGAGAUAGGAGAACAGAGAUAUAUGCUAUAGAUAUCUCUCACUCAGAGGUUAUGGGGGAGAUAGGAGAACAGAGAUAUAUGCUUUAGAUAUCUCUCACUCAGAGGUUAUGGGGGAGAUAGGAGAACAGAGAUAUAUGCUUUAGAUAUCUCUCACUCAGAGGUUAUGGAGGAUGUAUGUUUUGUAUUUUUGUGUUUUUGUGCGUAAUAAUUGUGGAGAUUUUAGUCCGGGUUUUAUUCCCACUAUAUAAAGUACUAUACUCCCUUUAUAUAAUACUGUACUCCCACUAUUUAUAGUACUGUCCUCCCACUAUAUAUAAUACUAUACUCCCACUAUUUAUAGUACUGUCCUCCCACUAUACAUAGUACUGUACUCCCACUAUACAUAGUACUGCACUCCCACUAUAUAUAGUACUGUACUCCCACUAUAUAUAGUAUUGUACUCCCACUAUAUAUAGUACUGUACUCCCACUAUAUAUAGUACUGAGAAGUAUGAGGAGG
Molecule: long non-coding RNA, 725 nt
Organism: Oncorhynchus tshawytscha (Chinook salmon)
Lineage: Eukaryota; Metazoa; Chordata; Actinopteri; Salmoniformes; Salmonidae
Source: Ensembl